GGACGAAGUCGUAACAAGGUACCCGUACCGGAAGGUGCGGGUGGAUCACCUCCUUUCUAAGGAGCAU
RNAcentral lists this ribosomal RNA (67 nucleotides) under Corynebacterium minutissimum. RNAcentral's name for it is "partial 16S ribosomal RNA". The stretch from base 1 to 56 matches the Rfam family "Bacterial small subunit ribosomal RNA", at positions 1478 to 1533 of the family's 1533-position model. Lineage: Bacteria; Bacillati; Actinomycetota; Actinomycetes; Mycobacteriales; Corynebacteriaceae. The record is from RNAcentral.